Molecule: unclassified non-coding RNA, 1935 nt
Filed under: Eurytemora carolleeae
Lineage: Eukaryota; Metazoa; Arthropoda; Copepoda; Calanoida; Temoridae
Description: tyrosine-protein kinase Src42A
Source: RNAcentral
UAAUAUUUUAAAUGUUUCAGAUAAAAAUGCAUUAGUUUUAUUGUUGGAGACUUGCUGGGAAAAUAUUUUAGGGAAAUAAACGGAUAAAUUAAACUUUAUUGACGACAACCACAAAUGGUAAGAUAGUUGAGAUAAAAUGGGAAACUGUUUUUCUACGGAUAGCGGGGGCCAUCAUGCCUCUGCCCCAUCUCCUGGUAUUCCCAGACUAACCGAAGCCCCUGUAGUCUCAGGACUAAACUCGGAGAAUAUAGUCCCGAUGGUUCCUCUGGACCUCGGACAUUCCAGACCGCUACCAGACCCAACAGAAUCAACUCCAUCCAGUAUUAAGGUGUUCGUAGCACUGUAUGAUUAUGAUGCACGGACAGAUGAAGAUUUAAGUUUCAAGAAGGGUGAACACUUGGAGAUUAUUAAUGAUACACAAGGAGACUGGUGGUUUGCUAGAUCCAAAGCAACUAAACAUGAAGGAUAUAUUCCAUCAAAUUAUGUGGCAAAACUCAAAUCAAUAGAAGCAGAACUAUGGUAUUUCGGGAAGAUCAAGAGGAUCGAAGCUGAGAAGAAAUUACUCCUGGUGCAGAAUGAGCACGGUGCCUACCUGAUCAGGGACUCGGAGUCAAGACGAAAUGAUUUCUCUCUCUCCGUCCGAGACGGGGACACGGUGAAGCACUACAGGAUCAGGCAGCUGGACGAGGGAGGGUUCUUCAUUGCACGCCGAACUACUUUUAGAACCCUUCAAGAGUUGGUGGAACACUACAGCAGAGAUGCAGAUGGAUUAUGCGUCAACCUUAGGAAACCAUGCGUCAAGAUGGAUAAACCGACGAUAGCUGACCUGAGUCACAACACGAGGGAUCAGUGGGAGAUAGAGAGAACUAGUCUCAAGUUUGUUCGGAAACUCGGACACGGACAGUUCGGAGAGGUCUGGGAGGGACUCUGGAACAAUACUACUCCUGUUGCAAUCAAAACUCUUAAAACAGGAACCAUGGACCCUAAAGAUUUCCUGUGUGAAGCGCAUAUAAUGAAGAAAUUGCGGCAUCCCAAACUAAUCCAGCUGUACGCGGUAUGUACCCUGGAGGAACCUAUUUAUAUCAUUACUGAGCUCAUGAAGUACGGCAGCUUGUUGGAGUACCUACAAGGUAAGGGUAAGCUGCUGAAGCUCCCCCAGCUUGUGGAUAUGGCUGCUCAAGUAGCCGCCGGUAUGGCCUACCUGGAAUCACAGAAUUAUAUCCAUAGGGAUUUGGCGGCCAGAAACGUCUUGGUUGGGGAGAACAAUAUUGUCAAAAUUGCGGAUUUUGGGUUGGCUCGGUUAAUCAAGGAAGACGAAUAUGAGGCUAGGGUUGGUGCCAGGUUCCCCAUCAAGUGGACUGCCCCCGAGGCGGCAAACUACUCCAGGUUCUCCAUCAAGUCAGAUGUCUGGAGUUUCGGUAUUCUUCUCACAGAGCUCGUCACAUACGGCCGAAUCCCAUAUCCAGGAAUGACGAAUGCGGAAGUGUUGCACCAGGUUGAGCACGGAUAUAGGAUGCAGUGCCCCCAGGGUUGCCCCCCGCUCUUCUACGACAUUAUGCUUGAGUGCUGGCACAAGGACCCGAUGAAACGACCAACCUUCGAGACUCUGCAGUGGAAACUCGAGGAUUUCUUCACAAUGUCCGACUCUGAGUACAAGGACGCCUCAGCGUACUAGGACUCUACGCAGUUGUACAAAUUUUGCGUAUCUUAGUAUUUUUGAUUCAUGACUCCCCUGGUUUAGAUUUAACUAUUAACCCUAUGCUCUCAACGCAUUAAUAUUCUUCAAAAAUACAUCAAUUAACAUUGGCCUUAGUAAUGUUCCUUUUUCAGUAUAUGUAGCGCCUACAUAGAUUAAUUUACUUUCUGUAUAUUUGUUGUAAAAUUUAUUUUAAAUAUUGUCAAUAAUAUUGUUCGCCUUUAGGUAAAGUAGAGAAG